ACUCCUACGGGAGGCAGCAGUGGGGAAUAUUGGACAAUGGGCGGAAAGACCUGAUCCAGCCAUGCCGCGUGUGUGAAGAAGGCCUUUUGGUUGUAAAGCACUUUAAGCGAGGAGGAGGCUACCGAGAUUAAUACCCUUGGAUAGUGGACGUUACUCGCAGAAUAAGCACCGGCUAACUCUGUGCCAGCAGCCGCGGUAAUACAGAGGGUGCGAGCGUUAAUCGGAUUUACUGGGCGUAAAGCGUGCGUAGGCGGCUUUUUAAGUCGGAUGUGAAAUCCCUGAGCUUAACUUAGGAAUUGCAUUCGAUACUGGGAAGCUAGAGUAUGGGAGAGGAUGGUAGAAUUCCAGGUGUAGCGGUGAAAUGCGUAGAGAUCUGGAGGAAUACCGAUGGCGAAGGCAGCCAUCUGGCCUAAUACUGACGCUGAGGUACGAAAGCAUGGGGAGCAAACAGGAUUAGAUACCCUGGUAGGUG
Molecule: ribosomal RNA, 472 nt
Filed under: uncultured bacterium
Lineage: Bacteria
Description: bacterial SSU rRNA
Rfam family: Bacterial small subunit ribosomal RNA
Source: RNAcentral